Molecule: long non-coding RNA, 1384 nt
Filed under: Anser cygnoides (Swan goose)
Lineage: Eukaryota; Metazoa; Chordata; Aves; Anseriformes; Anatidae
Description: lncRNA (ENSACDG00005004450.1)
Source: RNAcentral
UUUAGACUAAAGAAGAUGAUAAAGAGAUUAGCAUCUGAUCAGGCAUCUAUAAACAAGUAAUGCAAAAAAGCUUUUUGCACAAAAAGCCUAAUUACUUUGGGAGAAAAUCCUUCUUUGCACACAGAAGGACAGAUCAUGUGCUAGUUCUAAUUUAUGCUGAUCCUUAUAUAUUGUACAGUAGCGAUCUGCUUUAUCCCUUGGCUGUCUCUACGUGACAUGCGAUUUUUCACAGUACUUCCCAGUGAUUUUCAGAAUCCAGGAGCAAUUCAGCAUGGCGAACAAUGGCAAGCAAGACAUGUCAUCAAUUAAUUCAGUUCCCUGCAUUUUGCAACGAGGUGAAAUAACUGUUCAGUCUUGCAAGAGGACAGGCACUGCAAAAUCUUCAUGCUUCUGGGCAAGUAUCACUGAUGUUAGUGCAGGUCCUGGAACAGGGCAUGCAAGUUAAGCAUAUUUGGGAGUUGUUUAGUGCAGUGUAAAGGAAUUUCUUUAUCUCUUUUGGUAGAAUCUAUGAAGCAAAUUUGUAUUAGAACUGGCUGGAAUAUUUCUGAGUAAGUGAGAUUUUCUCAAAUGCAAAUGUUUUGCGAAGAUGUAUCAACACAAUUUUAAAAGAGAAAGAGAGAGAUAAAAAGAAAGAUUUUACGAAUACCAUCAGCAAAGUAGUGGCUCUAGAAGACAGGAAGUGCCUAGCCAAGGCCUUUUAUUUACUUCAAGAUUAUCUCAGAUAAAGAACUUUUGAUCACUGCUUGCAGAUCUAAUUUUGAAUCUUUGUCCCAUAACUACAUCCUAACAAUUUAAACAUGCAACUUCUUACUGGUAUAAAGUCAAUAUUUUAGCUUACUUAUAUUUUAAUGAAUCCAUUUGAAAGGCUUCAGUUUCAUCCUACUGUGUAGUGGAACAAAGCCACAAAACCUCAGUAAAUGCCACAAAACAGAAUUAUCUUUGAGUUGGUUCUGUUUAGAGUCAAUGUAGCAGGGUCUGCCCAUGGGAAUCAUUGCAAGACUCCUUCACCGUGUCAUUCCAAAGAUGCAUACCUCUAAAUGUAAAUCAUAUCUGCUUAUAUUGCAAUCUCAGUAAAUAUGAGAUUCAAGCAUAUAGCAAGAGAUACUGUUUAUUUCUGGCAUUAUUUAAUAAGUACUCUUUCCAGAACAUACACUUUUCCCUACAAAUUCACCUUAAAAAGAUAUGGAGCAAACAAUGAUCUUAGUGACAGAUUUUCUAUACAUAAAAUUAUACGAGGUUUUCCAUGAAAAGAGUAUGAUAUAUCAUUCUAGGCCCAGAAAUAGGAGAUUUAUCCUUUUGAGAAAUUUGUAGCCUAUGAAUGUAUCCUCAUAGCUAGUUAUCUGCCUAGGUCUCAAAAUAAAGUAUUUGGAACGCAUAAGGUUCA